This 96-nucleotide microRNA precursor is filed under the name Erinaceus europaeus (western European hedgehog). RNAcentral describes it as "miRNA (ENSEEUG00000015992.1)". Lineage: Eukaryota; Metazoa; Chordata; Mammalia; Eulipotyphla; Erinaceidae. The record is from RNAcentral.
GCCAUGGGCAUCUGGCACUGCGGCUCCUGCAUGAAGACCGUCGCGGGCGGCGCCUGGACCUACAACACCACUUCUGCUGUCACAGUGAAGUCCGCC